UACGUAGGGUGCGAGCGUUAAUCGGAAUUACUGGGCGUAAAGUGUGCGCAGGCGGCCGCGCAAGUCGAGUGUGAAAUCCCCGAGCUUAACUUGGGAAUUGCGCUCGAAACUACGUGGCUGGAGUGUGGCAGAGGAAGGUGGAAUUCCACGUGUAGCGGUGAAAUGCGUAGAGAUGUGGAGGAACACCGAUGGCGAAGGCACUCUGCUGGGCCGACACUGACACUGAGAGACGAAAGCUAGGGGAGCGAAUGGG
This 253-nucleotide ribosomal RNA is filed under the name uncultured bacterium. RNAcentral describes it as "partial 16S ribosomal RNA". It matches the Rfam family "Bacterial small subunit ribosomal RNA", at positions 524 to 776 of the family's 1533-position model. The record is from RNAcentral.